RNAcentral lists this ribosomal RNA (430 nucleotides) under Pseudomonadota bacterium. Its description in RNAcentral is "Proteobacteria bacterium partial 16S ribosomal RNA". It matches the Rfam family "Bacterial small subunit ribosomal RNA", at positions 355 to 776 of the family's 1533-position model. The record is from RNAcentral. Lineage: Bacteria; Pseudomonadati; Pseudomonadota.
UGGGGAAUAUUGGACAAUGGGGGGAACCCUGAUCCAGCCAUGCCGCGUGUGUGAAGAAGUCCUUAUGGUUGUAAAGCACUUUAAGCGAGGAGGAGGGUACUGGUAUUAAUACUACCAGGUACUGGACGUUACUCGCAGAAUAAGCACCGGCUAACUCUGUGCCAGCAGCCGCGGUAAUACAGAGGGUGCGAGCGUUAAUCGGAUUUACUGGGCGUAAAGCGUGCGUAGGCGGCUAAUUGAGUCGGAUGUGAAAUCCCCGAGCUUAACUUGGGAAUUGCAUUCGAUACUGGUUAGCUAGAGUGUGGGAGAGGAUGGUAGAAUUCCAGGUGUAGCGGUGAAAUGCGUAGAGAUCUGGAGGAAUACCGAUGGCGAAGGCAGCCAUCUGGCCUAACACUGACGCUGAGGUACGAAAGCAUGGGGAGCAAACAGG